CCUACGGGAGGCAGCAGUGAGGAAUAUUGGUCAAUGGGCGUAAGCCUGAACCAGCCAAGUCGCGUGAGGGAUGAAGGUUCUAUGGAUCGUAAACCUCUUUUAUAAGGGAAUAAAGUGUGGGACGUGUCCUAUUUUGUAUGUACCUUAUGAAUAAGGAUCGGCUAACUCCGUGCCAGCAGCCGCGGUAAUACGGGGGAUCCGAGCGUUAUCCGGGUUUAUUGGGUUUAAAGGGUGCGUCGGCGGCCUUUUAAGUCAACGGUGAAAGUCUGUGGCUCAACCCUAGAAUUGCCGUUGAAAAUGGGGGGCUUGAGUAUGUUUGAGGCAGGCGGAAUGCGUGGUGUAGCGGUGAAAUGCUUAGAUAUCACGCAGAACUCCGAUUGCGAAGGCAGCAUGCCAAGCCAUGACUGACGCUGAUGCACGAAAGCGUGGGGAUCAAACAGGAUUAGAUACCCUUGUAGUC
This 460-nucleotide ribosomal RNA is filed under the name uncultured bacterium. RNAcentral describes it as "partial 16S ribosomal RNA". It matches the Rfam family "Bacterial small subunit ribosomal RNA", at positions 338 to 795 of the family's 1533-position model. The record is from RNAcentral.